CUCUGUUUAUACCAAACGUUGGUGUUGUACUGUUGCGCCCAGCUGAUGCAUGGCUCGAUUUGCAUAAACUCACAAAGUGUUUUUCUCUCUGCUCUCAGGGUGCUUGUCUGGCAGCGGGAGACGUACUCUGCUUUUGCCUCUCUGGACCAAAGUUUGUAUGGAGAGCAGAGGUCAAGGACCAGAGUGGAGGAGGGGCCACCUUAUUGGGGUUUCUGCAGAACCCCAUCCUCCCACCCUUGGCCCAGGGGGUGCAGUGGACCUUCUCAGUUAGACGACUGCGUGACCGGCAAGCAGAGGGGGGCUGAGCACGCUUUCCGUACACAACCACGCCGGGC
RNAcentral lists this long non-coding RNA (335 nucleotides) under Scleropages formosus (Asian bonytongue). RNAcentral's name for it is "lncRNA (ENSSFOG00015028487.1)". The record is from RNAcentral. Lineage: Eukaryota; Metazoa; Chordata; Actinopteri; Osteoglossiformes; Osteoglossidae.